This 223-nucleotide unclassified non-coding RNA is filed under the name uncultured Thelephoraceae. RNAcentral's name for it is "sequence contains ITS2". The record is from RNAcentral. Lineage: Eukaryota; Fungi; Basidiomycota; Agaricomycetes; Thelephorales; Thelephoraceae.
ACACCUCAACCCUCGUGGUUUGCCACGAUCGGCUUGGACUUUGGAGGUUUUGCUGGCUCUCCUGUGGGUCAGCUCCUCUCAAACGAAUCAGCUUACCAGUGUUUGGUGGCGUCGCGGGUGUGAUAACUAUCUACGCUUGUGGCCGCCUGCCAUGCAACCUUCAGCGAUGGGGGUUCGCUGGAGCUUACAGGUGUCUCUCCUGAGUGAAGACAGCUCUUUGAAC